GAGGAGGUGGAGGGUCAUACCUCUGGAAGACAAGAUGAAAAUUCGCGAGAAGCUGGAAGAAGGCGUGAGUAAAACCCACGUGGGGCCCCUGUUGGGCGUCAACGAAUAGACCGUGCGCACCAUUAGGAGAAACGCGAAGGCCAUCAGGGCCGGCAUGGAGACUGUGUCGCCUCUCCGCUCCAAGGUGCGGUGCAUUCCCCGGCACGUAAACAUCGAGAAGUUGGAGACGGAGUUAACCUUUUUGGGUGGAGGCCCAGACCAUAGCGGGGCGGCCUCCGACGCUGAAGGCCGUCUGCAGCCAGGCCAAACGCAUUUACAAGCAGCGGGUGGAAACGACUGGGAAGGGCAGCCCGGAUAAGUUUCAUGGGAGCAAGGGAUGGUUUGAGAAGUUUAGAAAUCGCCACAGUCUGCGAAAUUCGAGGUCGAUGGGAGGGGAAGAAGCGCUGACUGCCCAGUCGGCAUCCAAGUACGUCCAAACAACUCCAGAGGCUGAUCAGAGCUAUGUGCCUCAACGGGUCUUCGAUGCCGAGGAGAUGAGCCAGUUUUGGCAGUGCAUGCCUCCACGUACUUUUAGGGAAAGAGACCAAAAUCCGGAAAGCUUAGAGGAAGCUAAGGACAGGAUUUCCCUCAUUUUUUGGUGCCAGUGCCGCCAGUGACCAAAUGAUAAAACCAUUGCUGCUUUGUAAAGACCCUAAUCCCACAUGUCUUUUGGAAAAAGAUAAAAACCGCCUUCCUGUAUUCUGGAGUUCACACCCCAAACUGCUGCCCCCUUUUUGGAUCGGUUUCAUAAUUGUUUGAUUCAUCAGGCUGGGAGUUAUUUAAUAGAAAAAAAAUCUUGAGUUCAGAGUGUUGCUAAUUUUGGACAGAGGUCCCAGUCGCCCAGACUCAUUUUUGGUUGCUCAUCUUAAUGUUGAUACUGUGUUUCUCCCCCUGGAAGGCACUAGCUGUCUUCAGCCCUUGGAUCAGGGUAUAAUUGAAGCAUUCAGGAGGUAUUACACCAAGCGUAUGUUUGACCACUUUGUUGACUGUAUUGAAAAAAACCCUUGUCUUACUUUGAGAGGAACAUGGCAACAGUACAACGUUGCUGAUGCUUUGGUAGUGAUAAAAGAGUCAAUGGAUGAUAUAAGACCAGCUGCUCUUAAUAAAGCCUGGUGGAAACUUUUGGAUGAUGUUGUGAAUGAUUAUGCAUGUUUCCCUAGAGCUAAUGAAGAAGUUGCAAAAAUCAUGGAGUCUGCAACACGGAUGGACUUUAAAUUAAUUGAUAUCGAACAGGGGGAAAUUAAUGAGGUGCUCAAGUUUCAAGCUUUGUUCAUAACUGAAAGAGAGUCUGUAUCAAUAAAUAUGGAAGAAGACAAGACCCUGGAACUAGAGGUAAAGAUGAAUCUAAGGAAACUGAAUGCUUUCUUAUGCCAGGCCUCAGACCUCAUUGAUGCUGCAAAGGAUAGGGAUCCUUUCCCGUAUCGAAGUUUGGCCUUUAAAAAAGACUUCAAUAAAUUGUUAUAUACCUGUAAAGAGGUGCAAAAGAACCUUCAAAAUAAAGCAAAGGAGUUGAACAAAGAAGACACAAAGAGGAAGUAGUGUGGGUGUAGAAGAUGGAUACAAAAUCUGAGUCUGAAGGGGAGUCUGAAUCUGAAUCCCAAAAGGAGAAGGUAGAGACAGAGAAAGAGGAUAAGAAGCCUCCAGAAGAAGAUCCUGGACCCUCAGGCAUUGGCGCUGAGACUUACUGUAUCUGAAGACUCUGCCGAAGCCAUAAAUGCAAAAUUGGAUUUUUGGAAUCUAACCUUAGAAUUGAAUCUGGAGAGAGUAGAAGUGCCUGAGUUGAAGAAGUGAAUCCAGACGCGUUUUCUUCCAAAUGAUGAUUCAUCUCUUGCCAUUCUUCCCCUCUUGUUCCAACAUCACUUUCAUCAUGACCAUGCUUAUCAUCAGCCACACAUCUAUAUUGUUUUGUCAUUCCACAAACAUUUAUUGAGCAUAAGCUAUUUGGGGUCCCGUGCUAAACUUGGGGACAUGAUCUCAGGAAGCCAUCUCAGGAUCUAAGAUCCUGGCAGCUUCUUUCCUGUCCUAUCCAGUGCUCAGGACCCUUAGCCUGCAGCUCCAUUCAGCUAUCACCGGCAGCUACGUAUCCGG
Panthera uncia (snow leopard) is the source of this 2127-nucleotide RNA transcript. It is a transcript of the gene named protein CutA homolog, with no coding region annotated. The transcript has 2 exons. NCBI's taxonomy places the organism in Eukaryota, Metazoa, Chordata, Mammalia, Carnivora, Felidae. The record is from RefSeq and is a predicted model, not a curated record.